GAGAACAAGUGCUCUCAAUAAGGGCCAGGCCAGUUACAAAACUGUUUCCUCCCUUACCCAUGAAUACACCCGAUUCAUAAAUAUAUUUAUGAGAAGAAAAUAAAUUUUCAGAACACCACAAAGAUUUUCAGUAUUGAAACAUCUUUCGACACUACAAACCACACCCUUAGAAAAAUUUCACAAUUCUUUAAGCAAUUUGGAAUCUUAGACUGAGGGAGAGAAGCCAGACAAUAAACUGGAAGACCAUUUGAGAGUAUUUCCAAAAUAAAAAAAUUUGACUCAGAUUUCAUGUGCAUGUGUGUUUAUGCUCCUGUGUGUGCAUGCGUGUGUGUGCAAGCGUGCGCGUGUGCGUGUGUGAGAGAGAGAGAAAAUUUCACCACCGCAAAUGCAGCAGGGAAACAUGGAAGACAAGGAGAAAACCCAUUAGGUAGACAAGAUAACCAUACAUAUGGUAGAAAUAAAACGUCCCCGGAAUGUUAAAACCUACACGCAUACUCACACAUAGAUAGAGAGAGAGAGAGAGAGAGUGAGAGUGACUAGCUAGGAUUCGCUUUUGAAAAAAAAAAAAGUGCUUGAAGAGGGAGCUACCGAAAGGAGGAGCUAUAUGCGUAGAAGCAAGUUAAGCUCAUCCUUCGGGUGUCACCAGAAGGAGGAAGCGAAGCCAUUUAGUAUACUUGGCCUCGCCCCUUUAGCAUAGUACUUGAAGCAAAGUGAAAUAGAAAUUGACUGCCACAAAAUGUGUUAAUAAUAAUAGACAUUGCUGGCAACAAAAAGAAAAAAGAUUAAGGCCCGUUGGAACUUCAGCAGCAAUCACCCAAAAUUACGGUGAAAGGAAGCCAUUCUGAAUUUUUUUUUAAUGAAAGGAUAAGAGAGGCACUGUAAAAUAAAACGAGCAAACCCACUUCCAACAACUUUCAGUACUACAUCAAAAAAACAAGCAAGCACUCAAAUCAGAAAAAAGAAAACAGAAACAUCAAUCCUUACCUUUACCUCGAGAUCUGAGGGCUCAGGGCUAAUCUCAUGAACACGAUUCACAAUGCCAAGAAAGCCAGCCUUUAGACCGUGACUCAUCUUAACCCAAAUUCAUUAAGGAAACACAAUUGAAGUGCACACUAAACCCGCUGUCAAGGGGUAUGUGAUCAAUCAACUGAGAAGAAAAGGCACUCAAAACAUCAGUUGCCUUUGAUAUCAGACAAGAAAUGGUCUGCUUUGGGCCUAAGGGAUCUUCCAUCAGAACCAGAGGUUAUCAUACUGAGAACCAUGUAUCAAAGGCGAGAAGACAAAGUUUGAAUCAUUGGCAUCUUCUAAGAAGACCAAUUUAUGGAGUUCUAGAGAGAAGCUGAGCUGGUAACAAAUCUAUUCUAAACUAAAACAGAUAUCUCAAAGAGAACCAGUAAGCCCAGCCAAAUUGUGUCCCUCACCCACAACAUAAUAUCAUCAAUCCGAGUUCGCUAACAUGCAAGAACUCUAAGUUGCCUAACCAGAUCAGUUUGAUGCAUAAGAGUUACCAGAUCAGUUUGAUGCAUAAGAGUUACAACACCAUGGUUCAAUAUUCAACCCAAACAGGGGAUGCAUAGAUGUAGUGAAGGACCAGCUUCACGAAAAAGUAAAUCAGGACUUAAUAAGUUUUCCCACAUACUCAGAGACUAAAAUAAGUUAUAAGGAAGCAAGCUGAAUAAUAUGCACCCACCUACCCUCAUCAAGGACCUCAGUAGUAACAGAACUCACCAACCUUCCCUCAUCAAGGAGAUCAGAAGUAACAGAACUCAUCAAGGAGCUCAGUAGUAACAGAAUCAUGUGCAAGGAUAAAGCAGGCCAUUAUGAAGAAAUUCCAAGCUUAGGAACUUCAAUGAUAAACUAUAAAGUAUCAUAUUUGCAAGCUAAGGAACUUGAAUGAUAAACCAUAAAAUAUCAUAUCUGAUGGCAUAAUGAAGAAAUUCCUCAUCCUUGCUUUUGAUUGUAACACCUCACUCCGUGUCGAAUAAGCAUAAUCAAAACUAGACCGCAGGAACCAGUAGGAGCCAGUCCUGGUUAAUUGUGAUUCUGUGUUGGGAAUAUUACUCACUAUGGGUAAAAUUGUUCAAAU
RNAcentral lists this long non-coding RNA (2086 nucleotides) under Amborella trichopoda. RNAcentral describes it as "long non-coding RNA (ATRI_LNC003236)". The record is from RNAcentral. Lineage: Eukaryota; Viridiplantae; Streptophyta; Magnoliopsida; Amborellales; Amborellaceae.